Molecule: long non-coding RNA, 379 nt
Filed under: Mytilus galloprovincialis (Mediterranean mussel)
Lineage: Eukaryota; Metazoa; Mollusca; Bivalvia; Mytilida; Mytilidae
Source: RNAcentral
GUAACAUAAUGUUUACGUUAAUAUCUUAAAUAAAUGUAUUUCAACGAACUUGUAUUUUAAGUUAGUUAAAUUGAGAUGCAUAUUGAUGAGGAUGUCGAUGGGUGUAAAGAAUAAAGAAUAAUUGACAAAAUUUGCAAAAAGGGCAAACAGUGCAAAACAAAAAUAAAGGGAAAUAAUCAAAGCAUAGCGAAAAAAACGGCAAAAUAAUUGGCAAUAGACAACAUGCAUGGACAAUAAAGAACUUGUAAAGAAUGAAUAAUAAUUAUAUAAUAUUAGUAGAGAGAAACAAUGUCUUAAAAUAAAGAAUACAUAAAUGACGGACACCAUCAACAUCUAAUGUAUAUAUGUAUCAUAUAUAUAUCAUAAAGACCGUGCAAAG